This 21-nucleotide non-coding RNA is filed under the name Caenorhabditis elegans. Lineage: Eukaryota; Metazoa; Nematoda; Chromadorea; Rhabditida; Rhabditidae. The record is from RNAcentral.
UCCAGAAGUUGAAAUUCCUCA